UGAACGCUGGCGGUAGACCUAACACAUGCAAGUCGAACGGCAGCACAGUAAGAGCUUGCUCUUACGGGUGGCGAGUGGCGGACGGGUGAGGAAUACAUCGGAAUCUACUUUUUCGUGGGGGAUAACGUAGGGAAACUUACGCUAAUACCGCAUACGACCUACGGGUGAAAGCAGGGGAUCUUCGGACCUUGCGCGAUUGAAUGAGCCGAUGUCGGAUUAGCUAGUUGGCGGGGUAAAGGCCCACCAAGGCGACGAUCCGUAGCUGGUCUGAGAGGAUGAUCAGCCACACUGGAACUGAGACACGGUCCAGACUCCUACGGGAGGCAGCAGUGGGGAAUAUUGGACAAUGGGCGCAAGCCUGAUCCAGCCAUACCGCGUGGGUGAAGAAGGCCUUCGGGUUGUAAAGCCCUUUUGUUGGGAAAGAAAAGCAGCAGGUUAAUACCCCGCUGUUCUGACGGUACCCAAAGAAUAAGCACCGGCUAACUUCGUG
RNAcentral lists this ribosomal RNA (490 nucleotides) under uncultured bacterium. Its description in RNAcentral is "partial 16S ribosomal RNA". It matches the Rfam family "Bacterial small subunit ribosomal RNA", at positions 30 to 507 of the family's 1533-position model. The record is from RNAcentral.